This 2293-nucleotide long non-coding RNA is filed under the name Parus major (Great Tit). RNAcentral describes it as "lncRNA (ENSPMJG00000002319.1)". Lineage: Eukaryota; Metazoa; Chordata; Aves; Passeriformes; Paridae. The record is from RNAcentral.
CUUUUUACCAUACCCUGUUUCAUAUACACUCUGACUUGAGACAAAUCAUGACAAAAGUUUCAAGAUUCAAAUUUGAGUUUGCAUACUUAAUUUAGUACAGAUAUUUUUGCAAUAUUCCAUCUGCCAUCUUGCUUCUCUGUCGCCCUGAAAGCUCAGCUUCUGAGCUUGCUGACAUGGUUUUCUAAGGACUUUCCCAGGACAGUAACUGUAAACAUAGAUAUGUGUGCAUUCUUUCUGUUACACGUCUUCUGAUGGGCAUUUCUUAUGGCCAGUGCAGUGAGAAAGUGUUAUCCUGACAAUCCAAUCCCUGGCCAUGGUCACAAGCCUAUAAAUCCUGGGAAGGAAAAUAAACUCUGCUCUUUUCUGCACCACACCUCGACCUGUGUCCGCGUGAUCUAUUGAUCUUCAGCGGUAACAUCUGGUGAACCCCGACGUGUCUUGCACGUGUGUUACAGGGUACUGUCUAGCCUGUGGCAAUGGAUGGUUUUGGGCUUUCUCUUACGGAGGGCCUGGUUCUGGAGAUAUGGCAUGCGAUGUCUGAUCAGAGGGGGAUUGAUGUUUCGUAUGCUGACUUCCAGCAAUUGUAGCUGGGAUCCAGCUGCGAGGAGAUGGUGGCUUCGGGUUCCCUGGACCUCCCUGGGUCUCUGGACUGCUGUUCUGACAGGCAGGGAUCAUCCUGAACGGGUCUGCACCCUGUCCACCCUUGGUGAGAUGCUGUCAGAGAUUAGCUUCCGUGGGUUUUGACACUGGCAUGGACAUCACGAUUGUCAAGUUUGCUGAUGGACCCGAUGCUGACACAUUCAACACAAAUAGGAACUUGAGACUGACUUUUUGUUCAACAUUUUCUGUUGUCUUCUCUCAUGAUAGACUAGUCACCAUCCGUGACUUGAUGCAAGGACAAUCUGUGAUCUGCAGUUUCGACCUAUCCCUGGGACAUUCCUGUUUUCUGUAUCAAGAAGAAGUCUGGGAAAUGGGGGUUGCUGUAAUACCUCCAGAAAGUUAAUGCUAUGGUGGAAAGCAUGGGGAUGAUGCAGGCUAGCAUGCCUUCACAUGCCAUGUUUCCUGUUGAUUGGCUAGUCCUCAUCGUGGAUCUGAAGGAUUGUUCUUUACAAUUUUUACAUUUACAUACAAUUGUUCUUUACAUUUUUACAGUUCUUUUACAAUUCCUUUGCAUCCCGAUGACAGACUGAAAUUUGCCUUUCUGGUGCCAGCUAUCAUUAAUCCUGAGCCCACACAGAGAUAUCAAUGGAGAUUUUGCCAUAAGGCGUGCAAAAUUUGCCGGCAUUUGCCGAUGAUAUGGGGCUCUAGCCCUCUCUGGAGCUGCAAGUGACUCCAGAAACAACCUCCUUGAAAUUAUUUGAGGGUCAAAAAUUAUUUUGGGACAAACAGUCCCACAUUUGGAGGUGCAAUUAUCAUUUUUGCAUUCAGUGCAGACACUGCAUGAAUGAUGUCCAAAUAUUAAUGGACUUUUACAUGGUUGUGUCCUUAUAUGGACUGACCACGACAGAACUGUCUCCCUUGUUUGGUCUAUUAAAGGGGGACUCUGAUUUUAAAGUCACCUCUGACACUGACCCACUGGCACAGUGGAUGCUGGAGGAGGUUCUGUGAGCAGUUUUUGCUCCUCAAGUUUAUUACAUUAAUUUUUCCAUUGAUGUCGCUGGUUUGUUUUUAGGUUUUUUUUAGAGAGUCAUGAGGCUGGAUCAGCCCAGUUGAUGGAAUCACAGACUGCUGUCAUAGCAUUUCAUAAGUUUUCCCAGGCACCUUUCAAUUUGGCCAUGGAUUCUGCUUCUGUGACCAAAUUGAGAACCAUCCACAAGCAGGUGUUGUUGAUGUUGGACAUUUUUUUCAUUUAUUUUUUGGGGUUUUGUUGUUUUUCUGAUUUUUUUGUUUUUUGUUUUUUUGUAAUAACGAAAGGGUGAGAUAUCACCCUGAAAUUACAGCCUUCUGAUUGUAUGGAGUAUUGUAUUUUCAUAUUAUUUAUUUUUUGAUUGUUUAUAAUGUUGUUAGUUUCUUUGUUCAUUUUUCUUUUUUCAUUUCUUUUUGUUAAACCUAAAAGGGUGAGAUGUCGCCCUGAAAGCUCAGCUUCUGAGCUUGCUGACAUGGUUUUCUAAAGACUUUCCCAGGACAGUAACUGUAAACAGAGAUAUGUGUACAUUCUUUCUGUUACACGUCUUCUGAUGGGCAUUUCUUAUGGCCAGUGCAGUGAGAAAGUGUUAUCCUGACCAUCCAAUCCCUGGCCAUGGUCACAAGCCUAUAAAUCCUGGGAGGAAAAAUAAACUCUGCUCUUUCUGCA